CUCUUGCGGCGCGUCGGGGGCACUGGCCAGGGCGGCGGUGGCGGAAGAUUGACCGACGAGGGCGGAGCCCCGACUGGGACAUCAGCAGAGAUCGGGCAGCGGGCGGCCAGACCUCGGCGGGCACCAGGUGACUUCGGUGGCGACGGGUCGGGGGCUGGCUACGGCAGAUCGCAGGGGAAGCGGACGAUCUCUGUAGGUUUAGAUUUUAUAUAAACCUUUA
RNAcentral lists this long non-coding RNA (220 nucleotides) under Oryza brachyantha (malo sina). RNAcentral's name for it is "long non-coding RNA (OBRA_LNC000581)". The record is from RNAcentral. Lineage: Eukaryota; Viridiplantae; Streptophyta; Magnoliopsida; Poales; Poaceae.